Molecule: long non-coding RNA, 1661 nt
Organism: Cebus imitator (Panamanian white-faced capuchin)
Lineage: Eukaryota; Metazoa; Chordata; Mammalia; Primates; Cebidae
Exons: 2
Source: RefSeq, a predicted model, not a curated record
AAUGGUAGACACUAUUUGAAUUUUUGGUUUACUACAUACCUGAUUAUAGUGUAGACUUUAUUUAUAACUUUGAACUGUUAACACAUUCAAAGUGUAAAGCAAGCCCUGCCCACAACAAUUUCUAUAGUCAGUUGCCCGUGAUAAUUUGGGUCUAUAAAACUAAACUAGAAACAUGCUAAGUUAAAAUCAGUUUGUUAUUAGACAUUAGUUACCUACCGAACAUUCUGUAAUUUCAUGUUUAAAAUCUGUUUUCCCUAUUCUGUUUUAAUUAUGUGUGUGUAAUAUAUGAUGCUAGCCAUUAUCUCCAUAAAUGGAUAAAAAUUUUCCCUUGGCUGCUGCUCAUCCCCAGAGAAGGAACAUGUGGGAACUUUAAUUUUUGUGAUUAGUACAUUCUUUUACAUGUUUUGUUGAAACAGAAAAUCUUAAUCUUUUCUAAAUGGUUUUAGAUUUGUAGAGAGCAAAAUUGUUCUGAAUGCUCUUUGAUGAGAUAAUUUAUGUAAAUAGAUACCCAUGGAAGGUAAUGACAUGGAUUAGGAGCAUAGAACCUGCCAAUACUGCCCUUUAUCUCAGUGGUGGGCAGCCCUAGGUGUUCCUUAUAGUACGCUCUAGAAUUUCCCAAAGUACAGAUGGCCUGGCUCUACCUGGGUCCUACUAAUGCAGCACCAGGGGCUGGUAGGGAAGCUAAUCUGUAUUUUGAAAGUGUUAUGCAAGAACUUCUGAAGCUAAGGUUGAGAAGCUUCGCUGUUUUGGGGAGAUAUACUCUGGUUGUCUUAUUGGGAUGUCUGACAUAAUGAUAUAUUUUUGGUACUCAAUUUCAUUUAAAACUGCUUUAGUUUCUUACUUGUUGUCUGGCCAUGGUGAAACCUCUGAUUUUUCUGGGCUUCAGUUUAUUCAGUUGAAAAAUUCAGAGUAGUUAGAUUCAGGUUCAUUUGGGUUCUGUGAGUCUAGGGAUCUGAACCCCCAUGGAACUUUUAUAUCAAAUUUCAUUCUCACUCCAUGCAUAUCAUGUAGAGAAAAAUCCAGGUAGUUAAUAUCAACACUUAAACAUUUAUGAGGGUUUGAGAAAAUUCUUUACGGGUUGCUACUGGAAUUAGGGUAACCAAAUUUAAUUGUCAGUGAUGUGGUGUAGGAAAGAAACCCUUUUUAUCUACUUUCUAAUUCAGACCGGCACUCAUCUCAAAGUCUAUAAAUAUUAGAAGAGAGAGAAGAGACAAGACAGAUGAAAUUUGACCUUGGUAGAAAUGAUUUAUUCAGCAGCGAUGAAGGAACCAGUGUUCAUCAGAGGUUAUGAUCUCCCGGGGUUGUCAUUUUGGAAGUGGCAGAGUCAGACAUCCACCUGGUCCCUGACCCAUGGCCAUGUGCAACUGCCACAGCACCUCAUUUCUUCUGAUUCUCCUGGGAGGGGUAUGGUAGAGAGGGCCGUGUUUUAAAUAGUAGAUUCCUUUCUGACUCUUCACAAUUAGAGACAUGGAACACUUUUGGCCUCCAUGAUGUCAUUCUAUCUCAUUUCUAAGGCUAUUGGUUAACAGGCUUUCCUACAUUGGAAUAUAUAUCAGGGUAAGCCUUUUGUCUCUGUAUUAUAGAGAUUUGGUGUGUACAUCCAGUUAUAAAACUAACUCCAGAAGACAACACAGUAAAAAAAGUUAUUUUUAGUGCCUUGA